RNAcentral lists this ribosomal RNA (468 nucleotides) under uncultured bacterium. RNAcentral describes it as "partial 16S ribosomal RNA". It matches the Rfam family "Bacterial small subunit ribosomal RNA", at positions 28 to 507 of the family's 1533-position model. The record is from RNAcentral.
GACGAACGCUGGCGGCGUGCUUAACACAUGCAAGUCGAACGGUAAGGCCCUGCUUUUGUGGGGUGCUCGAGUGGCGAACGGGUGAGUAACACGUGUGUAACCUGCCCUUGACUUUGGGAUAACUUCAGGAAACUGGGGCUAUUAUCGGAUAUGAGCUCCUGCUGCAUGGUGGGGGUUGGUAAGUUUCGGCGGUUGGGGAUGGACUCGCGGUCUAUCAGCUUGUUGGUGGGGUAGUGGCUUACCAAGGCGUUGACGGGUAGCCGGCCUGAGAGGGUGACCGGCCACAUUGGGACUGGGAUACGGCCCAGACUGCUACGGGAGGCAGCAGUGGGGAAUAUUGCACGAUGGGCGGAAGCCUGAUGCAGCAACGCCGCGUGCGGGAUGACUGCCUUCGGGUUGUAAACCGCGUUCGCCUGUGACGAAGCGUGAGUGACGGUAAUGGGUAAAGAAGCACCGGCUAACUACGUG